AUAACAGGGGACACAGCAAGCCCUCAAAUCAUUCCCCAGGAUGAAAAUGACACGGAGCUGACAUAAUAUCUGAGGUGAGAUGGAACUGAAAUCCUCAGCACCUGAACACUUCACCUACUGAUGGGUAACCUGACCCUAACCAAUCUUAUAAUCAUACCCAUGUCAGGGGGGAAGCUGCAUUUCCAGGAGCAGAAGCCUUUCAAAUCAACGUCUUCCAUGGAAAAUCAGCUGCCACCUUGGGGGCCAGAGCUCCCUGCCUGCUCGGGCUCUUCAUUCCGGGUGCUUCGGUUUAUGGAGCAGCAGCUGAACGGGCUCCUCGGGGGAUUUGAAGAGAUCCAGGUUGAGCUCAGAGCUGGAACUUUCAAACCAAAGUGCAGACAGCAAGGACUUGGGGUGAUUGGGAUUUUUUUCAGGCACGGGGAGUGAUUUUUUGGCACAGGAAGUCACCUUUUGUAGUGGAACCAUCUUUUAAGAAGAAAGGAAAAAUGAAGCAGUUCAUUGUACUGCUCCAAAUAAUGUCAUAUUGAUAACUUUAAUGGUGCAAACAUCUCCCUAUUUUUAAAACUAUUAUUUAUAUCUCUAAAUCUCACCUCUUUAAAUUUAUCUUUCAAAAAUGCAUGCUGGAAGGUCCUGAUUUCAGAGACUCCUUUGUGCUUUUACAUCCACAUUUUUCUGGAGAGGGCAGACAAGCUCAAAUUAAAAAUCCCUUUUACAUAAGUGGAGCUGGAUCAAAAUCCUCCUACAAUAUUCCCUGAGCCAAUCUAUUUACACUUCCCCAAACAAUCCUUGAGCUGGGCUGUGGGAUGAAUCAGCAUGUAUUUAAAUCAAAGGCAGACAGGAAAGACUGCAUCAGUUCUGUGCCACAGACCUGUCAAAGCCCCGAAGAGAUUAAAGGCGUGACCCCUUCAUCCCUAACAUUGCUCCACAAGAGACAUUUCUGUCACUAUUUCUGCCACUUGGCUUUCUAAGAUGCCACGAAGCCUUAGGGCGACCUCUGCUACAUUUCAGUGUUGUUUAUUGAUUUCUGACCCAGUGCUUAAUAGUUUUCCCAGUCCCCCUGAAUGGCUUUUGUAAGCAAUAGGGUUUGUGCAUCUCACCGAUCAAUACCUUUUAUAUUUACAAUAAAAUUGAAACUGCUUCUGCUGGGGGUGCA
This 1153-nucleotide long non-coding RNA is filed under the name Cyanistes caeruleus (blue tit). Its description in RNAcentral is "lncRNA (ENSCCEG00000008274.1)". The record is from RNAcentral. Lineage: Eukaryota; Metazoa; Chordata; Aves; Passeriformes; Paridae.